GGGGAUAUAGCUCAAUGGCUUAAGCUCCUACCUGGCAAGCACAAGGUCUUGAGUUCAAUUCCCAGUAUCCUCC
RNAcentral lists this transfer RNA (73 nucleotides) under Cavia porcellus (domestic guinea pig). It matches the Rfam family "tRNA". Rfam says of the family: Transfer RNA (tRNA) molecules are approximately 80 nucleotides in length. Their secondary structure includes four short double-helical elements and three loops (D, anti-codon, and T loops). Lineage: Eukaryota; Metazoa; Chordata; Mammalia; Rodentia; Caviidae. The record is from Rfam by way of RNAcentral.